Long non-coding RNA from Gallus gallus (chicken), 1017 nucleotides. NCBI's taxonomy places the organism in Eukaryota, Metazoa, Chordata, Aves, Galliformes, Phasianidae. The record is from Ensembl.
GGGAAGGCAGGGCCAACCCAGGGGAGUUGCUCAGGUGUAUCUAAUGCACCUGAGUGACCAGAAGGGAUGGGGCCAGGAUCCAUCUCUUCCCAGACCUCAUUUAAGGGUCAGCAGUGAAGGUGAGAGUAUCUUGCUGGAGAUCCCUGCCUACUUGAGGCCAUCUGAAGAAAUUGAGUGUGACACCUCUGCUCCCUACGUGCUUCCAUGUCAGAUGCUGCUCUGUCAGACCGCCCCUCUGCUGCUAUCAGUCCCACGGCAACAACGUGUAAUGAGACAGCGGUAGGAAGGUUCAACCUCUGCUGUCGUACCUCCAACAUCUGCCUCUGGCACUGUGGGCCAGCAGAAUAACACAGGGAGCGUGACUUCUGGAGCAGCCCUCCUCGUGUCAGCAGCUGUGUGCCCUUAUGUAAAUUUCCCUCCACCGGUGCUUCCUGAGCAAUCUCUUUCCUUAAUGACAACCACUUAUGACCAUUUCUGAUUAUGAACACGACUUUCGGUUCCUGCUGCGUGCUGCUCACAUCCUCACAGAGGCGUGCUGCACCUGAGCGCGCUGACAGUGACACGUUGUCCAUCUCAUUCCUCUCCUAACGUUCACUGUAGCUGUGCCUUUUAGUCGCGCACGGCGCCGUGUUCUGGCAGGGAUGGGGUGCGGAGCUGCUGUGGCGCGCGGCGCUGUUACGCUCCGCUGGGCUGCGUCCGAUGCUGGGAGCGCGGCGGCUGAGUGAGUUAUGGGGUAAUUCGAGUGCAAUUUGUUCCACGUGGAAUACAAAGGGCAGGAAAGAAACCAACGGGACAACCUCAUGUUAUUUACACAUAAGCAGUGCAGAUGUUUACCUAAACAUAGGCGUCUGUUUACUACUUGAAUAUUAAAUAUUUACGUAACCGUACAAAAACACCUGAUAAGCAGCCUGCGGCGCACCCAGCCAGCACCGAACAAACGCCGUCUCUCCCAGGCAGCGCUGCCGGCGUGUCGCUGUCGCUGCCCUUCGGCUGCAGCCGGGACUCGUACGCUUUUAC